This 28-nucleotide small RNA is filed under the name Bombyx mori (domestic silkworm). RNAcentral's name for it is "piRNA piR-bmo-2127032". Lineage: Eukaryota; Metazoa; Arthropoda; Insecta; Lepidoptera; Bombycidae. The record is from RNAcentral.
UUGCUUUGGUAUGGGUUUGAGAACGACU